GUUGCUUCAAAGCUAUGAAUUUCAAGAUUUAUUUGUCACUAUUCUCUAUAUUUUCUGCUGUACACAGUAUUUGUGGGCUAUGGCAACCAAUCCCCUUGGGCUUUCUUUUGCUUUAAUUUGCAUAAACACAGGCAUCAUAUGAAUAUUCAGUGAAUGGCUUUGCAUUAAGUAAGUGCCCUUAAUCAGCUUUUCAGUUCAGUUUUAUUGGUUGCACGCACAGUCAGUUAUUUCAUCCAGAAAAUCUGAAGGCCCUACAAACUAACCAGAACAGAAAGGAGCUGGGAAAGGAGAGGCCAAAGAGCAGACAACUACUGACUGUUGACCAAGUAAGGCCUGGCGAGUCUCCAGCUGGACUGGUCUUCGUUGUGAGUCGUAGAGGUUCUCUUCAUUGAAUUUGCAAGUAGAGAGGAGUGUGUGAAGACCACCUAAAUACCUCUAUCUCAUGGCUCCCAUAUCUCCAGGAAAAGCCUUUUAAAAGAAAUAUCCAUGAAAUCCUUGGGCAUUCUGAAGCCAUCUUUCUCCAUUAUCCAAACAUCAGCAUCUACUGUUUCUUGGCAGAUUUCACAAAGGGCUGCACACCAGGAGACGAAAAGGUAAUGAUGUGUGUUUGUCUUAUGGGUAGACUCACAUUUCAAACUUGUCUACAAUUCCACUAAAUGAAAGGAGUUGUUAAACCAUAACAAAAGCUAAAUAAAAAGAAACAUUAAACUGUAAAAUGAAUAAAAACUGUCAUUAGGUGUAACCUAAACAGUCUGUGUGUGGUUUCUUAGAAUGACAAGUAAACAAUAAACACUAAGUGUUGUCAAGUAGCUUCAACAAAAAGUGUUUCCAUGCAUGUGCAAAUAGGGAGAUGUGCUGUAGCAAGCACCAAAUCACAGGAG
RNAcentral lists this long non-coding RNA (881 nucleotides) under Macaca mulatta (Rhesus monkey). Its description in RNAcentral is "lncRNA (ENSMMUG00000054616.1)". The record is from RNAcentral. Lineage: Eukaryota; Metazoa; Chordata; Mammalia; Primates; Cercopithecidae.